Myotis davidii is the source of this 82-nucleotide long non-coding RNA. RefSeq lists it as uncharacterized. NCBI's taxonomy places the organism in Eukaryota, Metazoa, Chordata, Mammalia, Chiroptera, Vespertilionidae. The transcript is spliced from 3 exons. The record is from RefSeq and is a predicted model, not a curated record.
GUUUACCAUCUGGUGAAUGAUCACAGCUUGCGGGCCGGGGGAGGGACCAAGAGGUCACCUGUUCAGCCUGCUUGCCAGUCCC